UACGUAGGGGGCAAGCGUUGUCCGGAUUUAUUGGGCGUAAAGAGCGUGUAGGCGGCCAGGUAGGUCAGCUGUGAAAACUCGAGGCUCAACCUCGAGACGUCGGUUGAAACCGUAUGGCUAGAGUCCGGAAGAGGAGAGUGGAAUUCCCGGUGUAGCGGUGAAAUGCGCAGAUAUCGGGAAGAACACCUAUGGCGAAGGCAGCUCUCUGGGACGGUACUGACGCUGAGACGCGAAAGCGUGGGGAGCGAACAGG
Molecule: ribosomal RNA, 253 nt
Filed under: uncultured bacterium
Lineage: Bacteria
Description: partial 16S ribosomal RNA
Rfam family: Bacterial small subunit ribosomal RNA
Source: RNAcentral